GACAGAGGGGGCAAGCGUUGCUCGGAAUCACUGGGCUUAAAGCGUGUGUAGGCGGAAUUGUAAGUACCUUGUGAAAUCCCACGGCUCAACCGUGGAACUGCGUCCGAUACUGGUGGGCUUGAAUCCGGGAGAGGGAUGCGGAAUUCCAGGUGUAGCGGUGAAAUGCGCAGAUAUCAGGAGGAACACCGGUGGCGAAGGCGGGUCUCUGGGCCGAUACUGACGCUGAGGAGCGAAAGCGUGGGGAGCGAACAGG
RNAcentral lists this ribosomal RNA (253 nucleotides) under uncultured bacterium. RNAcentral's name for it is "partial 16S ribosomal RNA". It matches the Rfam family "Bacterial small subunit ribosomal RNA", at positions 524 to 776 of the family's 1533-position model. The record is from RNAcentral.